AGGAUUUGGCAUUGGGGCGAAAGCCUGAUCAGCCUGCCGCGUGUGUGAAGAAGGUCUUCGGAUUGUAAAGCACUUUAAGUUGGGAGGAAGGGCAGUAAAUUAAUACUUUGCUGUUUUGACGUUACCGACAGAAUAAGCACCGGCUAACUCUGUGCCAGCAGCCGCGGUAAUACAGAGGGUGCAAGCGUUAAUCGGAAUUACUGGGCGUAAAGCGCGCGUAGGUGGUUUGUUAAGUUGAAUGUGAAAUCCCCGGGCUCAACCUGGGAACUGCAUCCAAAACUGGCAAGCUAGAGUAUGGUAGAGGGUAGUGGAAUUUCCUGUGUAGCGGUGAAAUGCGUAGAUAUAGGAAGGAACACCAGUGGCGAAGGCGACUACCUGGACUGAUACUGACACUGAGGUGCGAAAGCGU
Molecule: ribosomal RNA, 409 nt
Filed under: uncultured bacterium
Lineage: Bacteria
Description: bacterial SSU rRNA
Rfam family: Bacterial small subunit ribosomal RNA
Source: RNAcentral